CGAAGAACCGAUUAAAAAUUCAUGCAACCCAGAAGAGCUGACGAGACCAGCACCGCCAGAGGCGCUAGUGUAUUUUACUCACAUUUCGGUGAAUUUAUUUGAAAGUGUUUUGGGAAGUGUAGACUUUUUUGCUUAAACAUUUAAUCCGUGGUAUGAUGCAUACUGGCGCUGGCGGAAUUACCGGAAUUAUUCAAACCGGAAUUUCUGGCGCGCGAACAAGACCACUGCUACAUGGCAUGAACCAUCUACUGUACCAGCUACUCCAAGGAUCGUUCCGAUUUGAAUUUCGGAAGUGUGAAGUGCUAGCCACCGAGCUGUCGAUAAUGCGGGAUCAACAUUUAAACCAUGACGAAUACCUAUACGGUGAAGUUACUGUAGGCCUCGCUGCAGGCGAGCUACCAGGGAAGCUUUACCGUCAACCAGCAAUCCAACCUAGAGGAAUUCAGUGAAAUUUGAUAAAUCAGUCGUGCAACCAAUCAACAUUCUGAAUACAAUCAUCGUUGCAGUGGAUGAACACUUAUCAGAAAUUCAAAAGCCCUUAUAAGCUAUGAGAUUGGAGACGCGUUCCUUGUGUACAGGCAAUAUUGCUAUUAUUUUCUUUUGUCUUCAACUCGUGAAGGCGUGUACCGGCGGACGAGAUCAGUACAGCCACUCGGAACAAGAAUGCCGCUGAUGUAUUCCGGAUAGGAAGAUGACCCGAGUUAUACGUUCUAUCAAAAGGAUUGCUACAAACAAAUGUUGGAACAACCAAAAUAGUUUGACUUUUCAAAAUGGAUAACUUUGUCGACGAAAAAAGGCUUAUCCCUGCUAGUGCUGCUCUAUUGCAGCACCGGAACAAUCCACAAGUAUGCGGAUGCGGCCAAGGCAAGUAUCGUCAUCAGUGAACUGACCUUAGACGAGACUCGCAGCAAACUGAGCAGAAGCGCACGGCUAGCCCAUUAGUAGGCAUCUCCAAACAAGCUGCAGCUAAGAGGACAACUUUAAGCCACCGGUGCCCUCCGAGUCCGACCACCGCUGCCCUAGUUUGAACGGUUCGAAGUGGUGGUGCCAGCGUCAGUGCUCUUCUUACUUUCGAAGGCUCACCAACCAAAGUCUACAUCGCUCUCCAACCAAGGACCAUAACAGCUCGAUGUUGUCUUAGCAGUUUAAUAAACCUAAUCUAUGAACUUAUCGUCAUACCCGUUAUUGACAGUCCUAUUAAACUAGUCGAAUUCAGCACACCGUCCCUACAAGUAGCCUGGUCGAAAUGUUCAAGUGGAUCGACACUGUUUGUGUCAUGUUCUGCAACCGCAAGGUGCAAAGCUAUGAAACUCUAAACGUCUCGCAGUGGUUCCGAAUAAGAUCCUAAAACACUCCAUUGUAAUCCAUAAACAUUGAAAAAGAAAUCUCAAUAGAAAAUAUUUAAGGGCUUUUGACUAGAGUUCUUACGUGAAAGCUUUGCAUAUGGAACUUUUACAAGUUUCUGAAGAAAAAUCAUGUUUUUGAGAAUGCCAGAAUCCUUUUCCGAAUCCCAUAAAAAAUCUAGAUGGAAUUUCUGCAGGAUUCUUUUUGUAUUUCUACUAUAUAGGGGAGGACGGGCAAGAACAACACGCCAUAAUUUGACUUCUAUUAUGACUUUUUCUCUAAAUAACCCCCCACACUGUUAAACUAUAGUCCAACAAAAGACUUGACUAAAAAAAUAUUAUAAAAAUAAAAUGAAUCUGUGAAAGUUAAACCGUCUAAGACGAAUUAAGUACUGUCCAUUUAAUUCCACCAGUUAAUUUUCGUUAUCUUUGCAGAUACGUAUUUCGACCACAACUGUGUGGUCGUCUUCAGUGUCUUGUACUUGACU
Long non-coding RNA from Armigeres subalbatus, 1831 nucleotides. RefSeq lists it as uncharacterized. NCBI's taxonomy places the organism in Eukaryota, Metazoa, Arthropoda, Insecta, Diptera, Culicidae. The record is from RefSeq and is a predicted model, not a curated record. The transcript is spliced from 3 exons.